GAUGAACGCUGGCGAGAUGCUUUACACAUGCAAGUCGUACGAAGUUUUAACUUAAGUGGCGGACGGGUGAGUAACACGUAAGAAUUUACCUUUAGGAGGGGAUAACAACUGGAAACGGUUGCUAAUACCCCAUAUGCUUUCGAGUGAAAUGGAUUUUUCCGCCUAGAGAGAAGCUUGCGGCUGAUUAGCUUGUUGGUGAGGUAAUGGCUCACCAAGGCGACGAUCAGUAUCUGGUUUGAGAGGACGAUCAGACACACUGGAACUGAGACACGGUCCAGACUCCUACGGGAGGCAGCAGUGGGGAAUUUUCCGCAAUGGGCGAAAGCCUGACGGAGCAAUCUCGCGUGAGGGAUGACGGCCUAUGGGUUAACCUCUUUUUCAGGGUAGGAAUAAAUGACGUGUACCUGAAGAAUAAGCAUCGGCUAAACUCCGUGCCAGCAGCCGCGGUAA
Molecule: ribosomal RNA, 450 nt
Filed under: uncultured bacterium
Lineage: Bacteria
Description: bacterial SSU rRNA
Rfam family: Bacterial small subunit ribosomal RNA
Source: RNAcentral